CCUACGGGUGGCUGCAGUGAGGAAUAUUGGUCAAUGCACGCAAGUCUGAACCAGCCAUGCCGCGUGCAGGAUGACGGCUCUAUGAGUUGUAAACUGCUUUUGUACGAGGGUAAACCCCGAUACGUGUAUCGGUUUGAAAUUAUCGUACGAAUAAGGACCGGCUAACCCCGUUCCAUCAGCCGCGGUAAUACGGUGGAUCCGAGCGUUAUCCGGAUUUAUUGGGUUUAAAGGGUGCGUAGGCGGUUUGAUAAGUUAGAGGUGAAAUGUCAGGGCUCAACCCCGAAACUGCCUCUAAUACGGUUGGACUAGAGAAUAGUUGCGGUAGGCAGAAUGUAUGGUGUAGCGGUGAAAUGCUUAGAGAUCAUACAGAACACCGAUUGCGAAGGCAGCUUACCAAACUAUAUCUGACGUUGAGGCACGAAAGCGUGGGUAGCAAACAGGAUUAGAUACCCUUGUAGUC
This 460-nucleotide ribosomal RNA is filed under the name uncultured bacterium. Its description in RNAcentral is "partial 16S ribosomal RNA". It matches the Rfam family "Bacterial small subunit ribosomal RNA", at positions 338 to 795 of the family's 1533-position model. The record is from RNAcentral.